Molecule: long non-coding RNA, 1586 nt
Filed under: Cervus hanglu yarkandensis (Yarkand deer)
Lineage: Eukaryota; Metazoa; Chordata; Mammalia; Artiodactyla; Cervidae
Description: lncRNA (ENSCHYG00000006406.1)
Source: RNAcentral
UCUGCCAGAUAGUUAUUCUUUUGGUAAUAGAAACACUAACCUUUUUUCUCCCUAGGGAUUUAUUAGUAAGCACGUGUAUUCUUUGGCAAAAGGGAACCUGAAAAUGCAUUUCCCUGGGGACCUGGCGCCAGUCGAUGCCUUUCAGCCCGCGGCUGACCUCGGAGACACAGAAAAGGGAGAGACAGCCCUGCCCCUCCAAGGCCACCCUGCAGGCUUUGUCUACCAGGCACUUCCUCCUCUCUCCCAGGAAGCACGUGUGACUCUAACACUCCCUUGCGCUCCCACGUUGCCUCUUGGAGAUUCUGGGGGAGAAGGCGGUUUUGACUUCUGCGAUUGGAAGAUGCUCUCCCAGACGGCAGAGGGGUGUUGCUUGGCUGGCAGUGGGCACACAGGCUGGCCACUGCCCAGAUCCCCUGGCUGUAGGGUGCCAGGGUUGGGAGAGUCCUCCAACACCCCUGAGCACCACUGCACUCAUGGGGAGACUGAGGCACAGACAGGCUGUGCAUUCCCAGGUCGCUCUGCUUGCCCCUGGACCAAGUAUCCAACCUGGAAAGUCCUCCCAGUGGAAACAGGCAUUCUCUCAGCCUCCCAGCACAGGGAGGAAUAGGAAAGGGCCGUUCUUAGAGCCAGCACAGUGCUUGGCACAUGGAAAGCACCUGGUUAACUUUGCUAGACUAAAGAAAAAUGAUUCUCCAAAGCCCCUUAGUGAGGGCCCCCACUCAACCUCUCCUUUCCUCAGAAGCCUGGCCUCCACCGACUAGAGGCCAUUCUCUCUGGAGCAGGAUGCUCCUUUGUCCUAAGAGCUGUGCUUCCCAGGUGAGUACCACUCCCCUCCAUUGGAUACAGACGAAGUGUCUGCAUCCUCACAGCCUAGCAUGGUGCCUGGCCCAUGGCAGACUCUCAACAAAACAUGUGUUCCCUCCCUUCCAAUGAGAAAGAGACUCUUUUUCCUUCUGGAAGCAGACUACCUAGAAAUGAAUUCAAGUUUUUGAAAACUGUUCACAGCCAGUGUCAAGUUCAGGGCCAGUGUCAUAGCCAGAGCCCCUCAACAAAGGCUAGGAGGAUAUACACAGAGGCUAAAUGGUGCUGAGUGGGGCAGACGUCUGGGCUCUGAACAGUUAACCUGGGAAAUUGGCACAGAACAGAGGAUGUGCUGGGCUUCCCCUGUGGCUCAGCAGUAAAGAAUCCUCCUGCAGUGGAGAAGUUGCAGGUUCGAUCCCUGGGUUGGGAAGAUCCCCUGGAGGAGGGCAUGGCAACCCACUCCAGUAUUCUUGCCUGGAGAAUCCCAUGGACAGAGGAGCCUGGUGAGCUACAGUUCAUAGGGUCACAAAGAAUCGGACACGACUGAAGUGACUUAGCAUGCAUGCACACAGAAGUUGUGCUAAACAUUCACACCUUUGAUGCUGUUGUAAUUAUUAAAAUCAAAUCAGAAGAGUCCCCUUCCUCCCUGCAACCGGGCCCCUGUCAGAUCAGGGAUAUUUCAGCUGCACCGAAGACUCUGUGGGCUUCCUUCCUUCUUCCCUCCGGAGCCUGAGACAGAACUCUGGCUCAGCACUGGCUAUCUGAGGAUGUGAGGGGCCCGGAAG